RNAcentral lists this long non-coding RNA (499 nucleotides) under Equus caballus (horse). RNAcentral describes it as "lncRNA (ENSECAG00000041277.2)". The record is from RNAcentral. Lineage: Eukaryota; Metazoa; Chordata; Mammalia; Perissodactyla; Equidae.
ACUGCUUCUUUGCAGUAAGCCGCUGCCUGGAACACAAAAAAAUGUUUUUUCUUUGUUUUUAAACAUUGCUGUUUUCCAGGAUCACUGGAUUCUGGUAAAGUUCAACAUUGUCAUAGAACAAAGUCUUGAUAAGAGAUUGAGAAAAACCAGAAAGAGGAUUUAUUUCAGAAGAAAUUUAUUCUAUAAGCAUAUAUUGGGAAUUUGAGCAAUGGGUAUAUGUGGGCUUUUGUCCCUGAAGAGCCACAUGUUAUAAUUAAAAAUGCUCCCCAAGGACCUUGCUGCAUAUCCAGUGCUGGGCAUUCCAUAAUUAUCCAGGAGCUCACAGGCUACACGGGACGGACAGAUGUAAAUAAAUAUAGAAAUGUGUUAAGAGCUACAGUGGAGGAGCAUGCAAUGGAUGAUUUCAAUGCUUGUCAAAGUAUCUUAAUGUCCCACUUUUAAAAAAUCCAAUAAUACUUUGGGCAUCAUCUGGGGCUUAGAAAAAGAACGUAAAAAGAAG